GCCAGAUAAGGGAAGCAGGCCUCCGAAGCCAGCAGUGGCAACCCACUUGGGUCCCUUUCAAUGCUGUGGAAGCGUUGUUCUUUCACUCUUCUCAAUAAAUCUUGCUGCUGCUCACUCUUUGGGUCUGCCCCGCUGUUAUGAGCUGUAACACUCACAGCCAGUGUCUGCAGUUUCACUCCUGAAGCCAGCAAGACCACAAACCCACAGGGCGGGACAAACAACUCCGGACAGGAGGAAUGAACAACUCUGGACGCGCCACUUCUAUGAACUUUUAUGAACUGUAACACUCACCGCAAAGGUCUGCAGCUUCACCCCUGAGGCCAGGGAGACCACGAACCCACCGGAAGGAAUGAACAACUCCAGACGCACUGCCUUUAAGAGCUGUAACACUUACCACGGAUGUCUGCAGCUUCACUCCUGAAGUCAGCGAGACCACAAACCCAACAGAAGGAAGAAACUCCCGACACAUCUGAACAUCUGAAGGAACAAACUCUGGACACACCAUCUUUAAGAACUGUAACACUCACCGUGAGGGUCAACCGCUUCAUUCUUGAAGUCAGCCAGACCAAGAACCCACCAAUUCCGUCUAUCUGAAUCAUGUUAUUGGACCAUGAGAGCAAGCAGCUGGAUCUCAUUCUGUCCAGUGACAGGGUCUCACUCUGUCACCGAUGCUGGAGUACAGUUGCAAAAGAUCAUCGCUCACUGUAGCCUUGACCUCCUGGGCACAAGCCAUGCUCUACCGGAGCCACUGCCCCUAGUUAUGGUUCCUGUGUCACACUGAUGCAAGAGAUGGGAUACCAUGGCUUUGGGAAGCUCCACUCCUAUGGCUUGGCAGCGUACAGCCUCCCUUCUGGCUGCUUUCACAGGUUGGUGUUGAGUGCAGCUUUUCCAGGGAACAGUGGCUCAUGCCUGUAAUCCCAGAACUUUGGGAGGCCCAGACGAGCGGAUCACCUAGGUCAGGAGUUGAGGCCAGCCUGGUCAACAUGGCAAAACCUCAUCUCUACUAAAAGUACAAAAAUUAUCCGGGCGUGGUUGUGGGCACCUGUAUUCUCAGGUACUUGGGAGACUGAGGCAGCAGAAUCGCUUGAACCCAGGAAGCAGAGGUUGCAGUGAGCCGAGAUCAGGCUGCUGCACUCUAGCCUGUGUGAUAGAGUGAGUGAGACUGUGUCUCAAAAAACAAAAAACAAAACAAAAAAACUUUCAAUUUAUUUUCCAGAGGUCUAUUUUUAAUUUAGUAACAAGAUUUUAAAAAAUAUAUAUAAAAUUAAAUAACAGUAGAAAGUUAGAACUAGGCCCUAUAAAAUAUAAAAUUGUCAAAAUUGGUUAGCAUGAUUGUAGCUUCAAGGAUCAUAUUGUUAAUGUGACAACUUCUGAAACCAAACAUCAUCAUGCUUGGCAUCAAGAGCUAAAGUAGUCAUGAGUUAAUGGAGAAGAACAACUAAGGAAUUGGCUGGUGAAGUAAAGUUUAUGCUAAAUUUAAUUGAAAUGAAAUAACAAAGCAGUUUGAAACGAACAUUCCAUUGAUUAUUUUUAAAAUUUUAUUUAUUAACAAAAUAGCUUAUACUAACUGCCCACUCUCUAUCCCAAUAGUCACAGCAAUAACAUAUAGUUAACAUUUGUAAUUAAAUAUUUCAUUUCAUACAAAUAGUAUUUUAAAAUUCAAGUGUUGAUUUUUAAGCCUUUGAAUGUUUGGCUGUUUAAAAUUUAAGUGCAUAUAAAAAAUUGUAGAAAAGGGUCAUUAUUAAUAAAAUAUUCAAAAUAUGGUAAAUUAUGCAUGAUGAUUUAAUAUAUGCAAAUUGACAAGUGAUGUGAAUAGUACAUUUGAAUAGAGAAAAUAUGUACAUAAAUGAAUGGUAUUUCAGAAUCUAAGCAAAUUGAUGACUCCAUUAUGUACUUGUCCCCAAUGUAAAUGAAAUAUUAAUUAGAAAACUUUUUUUUCACUAAAGGGCUGAACAUAAAGUGUGAUGGCAAAUUGGUGUGUUCUUGUAUUUCUUGUCUUUAAGAAUUCUUUUCAAUAUAUUUUCACUUAAUGUUUUAGCAACACUUUUCAUCAUCCUUUUACACUUAUAGCUGGACUAUGCUUAGUGAUAGAAAAUAGUUAUAUAAUGGGAUUAUACUUGGCCAUAUGAAUUUGACGGUAUGAGUUAAUCUAUGUUUCAUCUUACUUGUGUCUACUUGUAAGUCAUUGAUGCUAAUGUUAUUAGUAAUUUUUAUUGGGUAGAAAUAUUUUCUAUAUGACAUUUUUGAGAAAAAGAAGUCAAUAAAUCCCAUUUGAUAUGCAACAGAAAUAAAGAUCUCUUAUUUCAAUUUUAAAAUGCUUUAUAACUUACAUUGCUUUGUUUUAUGCAGUAUUUGUUUUGAUCAGAUGCAAAAUGAGCCAGUAAUGGCAUCUAACCACAAGUUUGAUAUAUUUUUUUAAAGAAAAAUUUCCAAAAUACUAUAACUGAGCAAUAGGCUAAUACUUCAUAAAUUAAAAUAUUUAAAUAUUCAAUCUUUCUGAGUGGAUAUUUGUUGCAUAUCUGAUAACUUGGCCUAAUUCUGUAAUUGGGAUGAGAACUACCCAAUUUUAUUGGUAACCUCUUUUCUGCUCUGCAACUUUGGAAAUAAUAUGGAGGACUUCAAAUUCAUUUGAGACAAAAAUAUUAAAAAUGUAACCCCUGAUUAGGAUUUCAGUUCCAAAGCUCUCCUUGGAGGGAUAUAGAGCUGGAGACAAUCAAUCACAUUUAUUUUUCAUCUCCUUAAUAUUGAUAUAUAAAAGUCAGGUUAAAAUUAGUAUCAAAAUGGGAAGCCUGCAUUGUAAACUGGCUGGAAUAAUACACUCUGCAAUAUGAAGGAAAAAGGAAAAAUUUAGUUGAUUCAUUUACUUAACUAUAAUUUUUUAAAGAAUUUUAAGUUUCUAAUAAAUUUAACUAUAAAUUUUUAAUUUUCUAUCUUUCAUUUAGUACCAUCUAUAUAAACUUUUCCAGGCUACUUCUCUGAAUCACCUGGCAAAAUCUUAUAAUUUACCACCUAACUGAAUAAAACACACACACACAAAAUAAUCUAUUUUUAAUAAUAAACAUCAUUUAUAAUUACGUUGUUGAGAUUGAGAGUAAUCAUCAGGUGUGGAAAAACUGAGGAAAUUUUAACAAUUUAAAAUGUAAUAAUCUUUUUUGUAUUAUGUGUGUUUUAUACUCAGAAGUGCAUAUGUUUUAUAAAAUUAUGUGAAUUUAUAAGUGUGGUCAAUAUUAAUAUUAAAUUGUAUCUUUUAAUAGUA
RNAcentral lists this long non-coding RNA (3256 nucleotides) under Homo sapiens (human). Its description in RNAcentral is "long independently transcribed non-coding RNA 2377, transcript variant 1 (LINC02377)". The record is from RNAcentral. Lineage: Eukaryota; Metazoa; Chordata; Mammalia; Primates; Hominidae.